Molecule: ribosomal RNA, 253 nt
Filed under: uncultured bacterium
Lineage: Bacteria
Description: partial 16S ribosomal RNA
Rfam family: Bacterial small subunit ribosomal RNA
Source: RNAcentral
GACAGAGGGGGCAAGCGUUGCUCGGAAUCACUGGGCGUAAAGCGCACGUAGGCGGAUUGCUAAGUCAGGGGUGAAAUCCUGGAGCUCAACUCCAGAACUGCCUUUGAUACUGGCGACCUUGAGUCCGGGAGAGGUGAGUGGAACUGCGAGUGUAGAGGUGAAAUUCGUAGAUAUUCGCAAGAACACCAGUGGCGAAGGCGGCUCACUGGCCCGAUACUGACGCUGAGGUGCGAAAGCGUGGGGAGCAAACAGG